This 397-nucleotide ribosomal RNA is filed under the name uncultured bacterium. Its description in RNAcentral is "partial 16S ribosomal RNA". It matches the Rfam family "Bacterial small subunit ribosomal RNA", at positions 523 to 918 of the family's 1533-position model. The record is from RNAcentral.
AUACGUAGGUGGCAAGCGUUGUCCGGAAUUACUGGGUGUAAAGGGCGUGUAGGCGGGGAUGCAAGUCAGAUGUGAAAUUCCGGGGCUCAACCCCGGCACUGCAUCUGAAACUGUGUCUCUUGAGUGCUGGAGAGGAAAGCGGAAUUCCUAGUGUAGCGGUGAAAUGCGUAGAGAUUGGGAGGAACACCAGUGGCGAAGGCGACUUACUGGACUGUAACUGACGCUGAGGCGCGAAAGUGUGGGGAGCAAACAGGAUUAGAUACCCUGGUAGUCCACACUGUAAACGAUGAAUGCUAGGUGUAGGGGGUAUCGACCCCUUCUGUGCCGCAGUCAACACAAUAAGCAUUCCGCCUGGGGAGUACGGCCGCAAGGUUGAAACUCAAAUGAAUUGGCGGGG